This 465-nucleotide ribosomal RNA is filed under the name uncultured bacterium. Its description in RNAcentral is "partial 16S ribosomal RNA". It matches the Rfam family "Bacterial small subunit ribosomal RNA", at positions 28 to 507 of the family's 1533-position model. The record is from RNAcentral.
GACGAACGCUGGCGGCGUGCUUAACACAUGCAAGUCGUACGGUAAGGCCCUUUCGGGGGUACACGAGCGGCGAACGGGUGAGUAACACGUGGGUAACCUGCCCUCAGCUUUGGGAUAACCCUGGGAAACUGGUUCUAAUACUGGAUAUGUCCUUCUCCCGCAUGGUGGUUGUUGGAAAGCUUCGGCGGUUGUGGAUGGACUCGCGGCCUAUCAGCUUGUUGGUGGGGUGGUGGCCUACCAAGGCGGCGACGGGUAGCCGGCCUGAGAGGGUGACCGGCCACAGUGGGACGGAGAUACGGCCCAGACUCCUACGGGAGGCAGCAGGGGGGAAUAGUGCACAAGGGGCGCAAGCCGGAUGCAGCAACGCCGCGGGCGGGAUGACGGCCUUCGGGUUGGAAACCGAGUUCAGCAGGGACGAAGCGUUUUGUGACGGUACCUGCAGAAGAAGCACCGGCUAACUACGUG